CUUCCUUCCUCUGUCUCUCUCUCUCCUUCUUUCAUACUGAGGAUCAAACCCAGGGACAUUCUACCACUGAGCUAUAUCCCCAGUCCUUUUAAAUUUUUAUUUUGAGACAGGAUUUCACAAAGUUGCCAAGGCUGGCCUCAAAAUCAAGAUCUUCCUGCUUUAGCCUCCUGAAUAUUUUACAUGUACCACCACUCUGGCCUCCUCUCCCUGACUUCUUCUUCUUUUUCUUUUUUUGGUGUGUGUGUGGGGGGGUGAGAAACUGAUGUGACUCCAGUUUUGAAAACAGCUUCUACCUCAAAGCCUGUCCAACGAAGGGGGUGUGACCCUUGUCCUUGGAAAAACCCACAGAGAGCUCCUAGGCACAUAUCCACCCUGCUGAGUUGUUUGUCUGAAAAUAACAGGAGAGAUCUGCAGAGCCAGGUGUCCCUGAUUCAGUCAGGCUAGGUGAGGACCCAUAGCAACCCUCUAGCAGCCACCAAUCAGCAUGAGACAGGGAAAAUACCUGGGAUGCCAGAUGACCCCCCCCAGUAGUUUAUGGUGGUUGAUAACAUGUUGGGAAACCAUGUAGUUUAGCACAAACACCCCUCAUGGCUUAAAACAAUCAGUUCAAAGGAAUCCUCCUCUUUUACUAACCAAACACUCCUACUCAACUUGUUCCCCCCAGUGAAUGUGCUAAUCAAUGUUAAUUGUUGUUUGACUUUCCCUCGGUGUGAAAUGAUUUUCUAUAUGAUGUUAUGACACAUAGAGUAUCCCCCAAAACCUAUAAAAUCUCAUUGAACAAAGGACCGGGACUCACUCCUCAGGACCGCUGUGUCGGGAACGGUUGUUGAGUCCAGGCUUGCAAUAGAGACUCUUGUGUGAUUGCAUCGGAUUCGGCUCCUGGAGGUCUAUUGGGGUCCCAUGAAUCUGGCAUUACAGGGGCAGUACCAGAGAUUGAACUCAGGGCACUCAACCACCGAGCCACAUCCCAAGCCUUAUUUUGUAUUUUAUUUAGAGUUGCUUAGCGCCCUGCUUUUGUUGAGGCUGGCUUUGAAAUCGUGAUUCUCCUGCCUCAGCCUCCUGAGCUGCUGGGUCUCCCAGACUUCUUACGUGGUAGUGUUCAUGCCUCAAUUCCUGGAUCUUUUCUUUUUCUGUCCCUAGGUGAUCUCAUACAGUUUCAUGGUUCCCCACCAGAUUUAAAUAGUUUCUUCAAAGACCAUGUUUGUGUUGACAACUUCAAAUUACUAUUUCUAGAUCAGACCACUCCCUGGAAUUCCAGACUUGUACUUCCAAUGUCUGGAUUCAUCCAAGGUACCACAUUAUGUAUAUUUGUCCAGUGUCUUUGGAUUCUUCUUGCCUGUGACAGUUUUACAAAGUUUCCUUGAUUUUUCUGACCUUGAUAAUUUAGAGGAGUACUGGUCAAACACUUUAUAGGAUGUCCUCUUUUGGAAUUUGGUGUUUUCCUAGUGAUUAGCCAUCUGUGGGCUGUGUGUGGACUAUGUUGCUAGUAUCCUCCUGAGGAGAUAAGUCUGGCCCUGGGACCUUCCUGAGCAACCCCCAUAGGCAUUGACUGCCUGAAGCAGGUGAACUUCCCCUUCAAGCUCUGCCUAAGAUUCUACACAACACCUGAGAUGAGUGUGACUUGCCGAGAUGUCAAUCAACCUGCUGACUGCAAGACAUCACUGAAGCAAGACUCACCCUUGAAAACUUAUCCCUGCCUUUGAUGUACCCCCUUAAAUAAACCACCAGAGCCAUU
This is a long non-coding RNA of Marmota monax (woodchuck), 1735 nucleotides long. RefSeq lists it as uncharacterized. The record is from RefSeq and is a predicted model, not a curated record. Lineage: Eukaryota; Metazoa; Chordata; Mammalia; Rodentia; Sciuridae. The transcript is spliced from 2 exons.